RNAcentral lists this ribosomal RNA (910 nucleotides) under uncultured bacterium. RNAcentral describes it as "bacterial SSU rRNA". It matches the Rfam family "Bacterial small subunit ribosomal RNA", at positions 8 to 916 of the family's 1533-position model. The record is from RNAcentral.
AGAGUUUGAUCAUGGCUCAGGACGAACGCUGGCGGCGUGCCUAACACAUGCAAGUCGCACGGGACAGGAAGCAAUACUAACUGAUGACAAGCGGCGGACGGGUGAGGAAAACGUGGGAAUCUACCCUCAAGCGGGGGACAACCAAGGGAAACUUUGGCUAAUACCGCAUAAUCUCGAGAGAGUAAAGCUGCCGGUAACGGUGGCACUUGAGGAGGAGCCUGCGUCCGAUUAGCUAGUUGGUGUGGUAAGAGCUCACCAAGGCGAUGAUCGGUAACUGGUCUGAGAGGACGACCAGUCACACUGGGACUGAGACACGGCCCAGACUCCUACGGGAGGCAGCAGUGGGGAAUAUUGGACAAUGGGGGCAACCCUGAUCCAGCGAUGCCGCGUGAGUGAAGAAGGCCUUCGGGUCGUAAAGCUCUUUAGGUGGGGAAGAAGGUUAUGUGGGGAUAAUCCAUGUAGCUUGACGGUACCGACAGAAUAAGCACCGGCAAACUCUGUGCCAGCAGCCGCGGUAAUACAGAGGGUGCAAGCGUUAAUCGGAGUUACUGGGCGUAAAGGGCGCGUAGGCGGUGAGAUGUGUGUGAUAUGAAAGCCCCGGGCUUAACCUGGGAAGUGCAUCGCAAACUAUCUGACUGGAGUAGAUGAGAGGGUGGCGGAAUUUCCGGUGUAGCGGUGAAAUGCGUAGAGAUCGGAAGGAACGUCAAUGGCGAAGGCAGCCACCUGGCAUCAUACUGACGCUGAGGCGCGAAAGCGUGGGGAGCGAACAGGAUUAGAUACCCUGGUAGUCCACGCUGUAAACGAUGAGUACUAAAGGUUGGUAGGGGAACCUAUCAGUCUUGAAGCUAACGCGAUAAGUACUCCGCCUGGGAAGUACGGCCGCAAGGUUGAAACUCAAAUGAAUUGACGG